Salmo salar (Atlantic salmon) is the source of this 760-nucleotide non-coding RNA. The record is from RefSeq and is a predicted model, not a curated record. Lineage: Eukaryota; Metazoa; Chordata; Actinopteri; Salmoniformes; Salmonidae.
UGCAGGAUCUGAGAGUGGGGCUGCUGGUGCGGUGCCAGGAUGUGCAUGAAGGGGGCCGGAGCGUAACCAGCCGCGGCUGGGGGGUUGAUGGGACCACCACUGCCCAGGGCCGAGGGCAGGCUGAAGGAAGUUGCCGGUGUGGUUGCAUGGAAACCCUGCUGCUUCUCAAAAGACUGCUGCUGGAGGGAUAAACACAACAACGUUGGUCGCCCUGUCCUUACUAGUGUGCGGUUUUUACAUUUGUUUGCAUACAUACAACCUUUUAUACAGACACUGGUUGUCAUAAACUUUCCGUAUGUCUCAGAACAGAUACAUUUAUUCCAGUGUUUGUACCACUGUAGCAUCAUUCUCACCUGCUGUGUCUUUGUGUAAACAGACCCUGAAAUGUCUGGGACCCCUGUGUUGCUUGACGUGACCGAGACCCCUGCAGAGGAAACAAAGGGGUUCGGACAUAUUUACUUCACCAUGUCUACAGGUCUCAACCCCUGCAGGAGAGCACCUUGGUGCCUAAUGAUGAGUAGUCCUGGGGGACAGAACAGAAGAGUAACAGAAGAAUGGAGGCAGACAGAGGGUGACGGUUGACUGCAACAGGUGUCAGAGUCUUCUCUGUGGUGUGGACGGGUGUGUUUAGUCUUACCAGUGUUGUAACCAUGGGAACCGUAGCCGCUGGCCUGCUGGAAGGCUGUUGCCGAGGCGUUGACUCCAACGUUCACACCGUGCUGCUUUGACGAGGUAGGAGCAACCUGGAAACACAGACAGG